GACGAACGCUGGCGGCGUGCCUAAUACAUGCAAGUAGAACGCUGAAGGAGGAGCUUGCUUCUCUGGAUGAGUUGCGAACGGGUGAGUAACGCGUAGGUAACCUGCCUGGUAGCGGGGGAUAACUAUUGGAAACGAUAGCUAAUACCGCAUAAUAGUAGAUGUUGCAUGACAUUUGCUUAAAAGGUGCAAUUGCAUCACUACCAGAUGGACCUGCGUUGUAUUAGCGAGUUGGGGGGGUAACGGCUCACCAAGGCGACGAUACAUAGCCGACCUGAGAGGGUGAUCGGCCCCACUGGGACUGAGACACGGCCCAGACUCCUACGGGAGGCAGCCGUAGGGAAUCUUCGGCAAUGGACGGAAGUCUGACCGAGCAACGCCGCGUGAGUGAAGAAGGUUUUCGGAUCGUAAAGCUCUGUUGUAUGAGAAGAACGAGUGUGAGAGUGGAAAGUUCACACUGUGACGGUAUCUUACCAGAAAGAGACGGCUAACUACGUG
RNAcentral lists this ribosomal RNA (495 nucleotides) under uncultured bacterium. Its description in RNAcentral is "partial 16S ribosomal RNA". It matches the Rfam family "Bacterial small subunit ribosomal RNA", at positions 28 to 507 of the family's 1533-position model. The record is from RNAcentral.